GAUGAACGCUGGCGGCGUGCCUAUUACAUGCAAGUCGAGCGAACAGACGAGGAGCUUGCUCCUCUGACGUUAGCGGCGGACGGGUGAGUAACACGUGGAUAACCUACCUAUAAGACUGGGAUAACUUCGGGAAACCGGAGCUAAUACCGGAUAAUAUAUUGAACCGCAUGGUUCAAUAGUGAAAGACGGUUUUGCUGUCACUUAUAGAUGGAUCCGCGCCGCAUUAGCUAGUUGGUAAGGUAAUGGCUUACCAAGGCAACGAUGCGUAGCCGACCUGAGAGGGUGAUCGGCCACACUGGAACUGAGACACGGUCCAGACUCCUACGGGAGGCAGCAGUAGGGAAUCUUCCGCAAUGGGCGAAAGCCUGACGGAGCAACGCCGCGUGAGUGAUGAAGGUCUUCGGAUCGUAAAACUCUGUUAUUAGGGAAGAACAAAUGUGUAAGUAACUAUGCACGUCUUGACGGUACCUAAUCAGAAAGCCACGGCUAACUACGUG
RNAcentral lists this ribosomal RNA (497 nucleotides) under uncultured bacterium. Its description in RNAcentral is "partial 16S ribosomal RNA". It matches the Rfam family "Bacterial small subunit ribosomal RNA", at positions 28 to 507 of the family's 1533-position model. The record is from RNAcentral.